GGGGUAUUAACACAGUGGUUGGUGUGGCGGCCUCUUAAGCCAGGUCGAAGUUUCGAAUCCUUCAUGCCCCA
Molecule: transfer RNA, 71 nt
Filed under: Klebsiella phage KP12
Lineage: Duplodnaviria; Heunggongvirae; Uroviricota; Caudoviricetes
Description: tRNA-Lys
Rfam family: tRNA
About the family: Transfer RNA (tRNA) molecules are approximately 80 nucleotides in length. Their secondary structure includes four short double-helical elements and three loops (D, anti-codon, and T loops).
Source: RNAcentral